Cicer arietinum (chickpea) is the source of this 3577-nucleotide non-coding RNA. The record is from RefSeq and is a predicted model, not a curated record. Lineage: Eukaryota; Viridiplantae; Streptophyta; Magnoliopsida; Fabales; Fabaceae.
CUACGCAAGUUCAAGUCUGCACAUCACUGUGUGAUAAUAUAUAAAUUGUUAAAAGAGUUUAUACUCAACUAUACGAGUUCAAGUCUACACAUCAGUGUGUGAAACUUAGAAAUUGUUAUUAGAGUUUAUACUCGGUUGAGUGGGUUCAAGUUUGAGAUUUGUCAUGCUAGAUAUCUAUGUUUAAACUAACUGUAAUACCUUUUCAAUUUGGAUACAUUUCAAGUUCGAGGAACAAGAUCGUUGGAAAGGGUUUCUAGGAUAUUGGCUUCCUUUUCAAUUUAUAUAACAAUAUGAUAAUGGCCUUCUCGGUUAGUACUUUUUUGUUAUAUUUGAUGGCCAUCUUUUGUUCAACAGUGAGUUCUUUCAAGGUAGUUGUGUGGCUAACUUCGUCAACAAAAUUGAUUUAGUGGGUAUGCGGUCCUCCAACUUAAUUUUCUAAUUUCGACGUGGAUGGUGGCCUCAAUUCCAUAUGUUAGUCGAAACGGGUUUUCGUCCAUGGUGGAAUGGGGUAUUGUUUGAUAUGUCCCCAAGACGGAGGGGAGCUAUUCGCUCUAGUGUCCCUUAGCAUCAUCCAAUCUUUUUUUUUAGCCCUUAGAGGAUGAUGUUGUUGGCGGCUUCUUCCUACUUGUUCGCUUGUGGAUGCUCAUCAGACGUGAAAUGUUGUUUUACUCAUAGCUCUAUGACAUCAUGUACUCUAGUUUGUUUGACACAAUAUGCCUCACCAAAGACAACAUGUUGCUCUACGUAGGACUCAAUUAACAAGGUUUGACCAACACUUUUUAGGGAUACGUCGAGAUACUCGUGACUUUAGGUGACACAAAGUCUAGGAACUACGACUGUAAGUUAAUCUACAACUGCAUCAUUGGGCGCCCUACCAUCAUAGAACUAGGCGUAGUCUCCUCAACUAUGCAACUAAAACUCAUACCCCCUGAAGUCGAAAGAAGUAGCCACUUUGCACGCCGACAUUGAAAGUGGCAAAAAGAUGCUUCAUGGCCUCCCUUAAAAGUCAAGAAGUACUCGUGAAAUCCACAUAGCCGAACAAAAGAAUGGAAACCAAGUCUUCAUUAUCACAAAUAUAUAUACCACUGAACUUGAUGCAAGAUUCGACGAGCUGCUGAUAAAAGACGAUCUUGGCAUUGUUUGCAAGCCAAUGAAAAGGCCUACAUCGGCUGGAGAGUUUAUCCUGAUCCCGGUGGAAGACAUUCCGAGAAAGACUAUAAGGAUCGAAACAAAUGUACCUGAUUACGCCAAAGACCAACUGACUAGUUUUCUGGAUGAGUAUGCCACAUCUUCUCAUGGACUGUUAACAAGAUGCUCGACAUAGAUCCAUAGAUCACCUACCACAAGUUGAUUGUGAACUCGAAUGCUCAAAGCAUUGUCCUUUGUCGUUGCAAACAAUCUCACUAAAAAGGAUGUUUCCAAUUUACUAGCUGCAAAUUUCAUUUCUAUUUCUAAUAAUAAGUGGUGUCUCUGUGUUGAUUAUACCGAGCUUAAUAAAAUGUGUCCCAAAGACGUGUACCUAUUUCCAAUAAUGACACGUUGGUCGAUAAGUUGUUUGGGUUCAAAUUAUUUUCGUUUAUGGAUGCUUAUUCAAGAUAUAAUCCAAUUCCUUUGCAUCCCAAAGAUUGCGGAAACAACAUUCAUGAUUGAGUCAGGGAACUAUUGCUACAACAUAAUGCUCUUCGAACUCAAAAACAUCGAUGCUACCUAUCAGUGCUUGAUGAAGUGUUCAUAAACCAAAUAGAAAAAAUGCUAUAAGUAGAUAACGAUGACAUGAUAGUCAAGUCUUAAUAUGAGAUUGACCAUGCAUCCCUUCUCUGCAAAUUCUUCAAAAAAAAAAUUUGAAAGCAAAACAUGAGGUUGAACCUCUAGAAAUGCGUUUUUGGGGUACAAGUUGGAUAAGUGCAAAUCAUUCACAACAAUGCCAACACUAGACUUCAAAAGAAAGAUCCAAGUCGUUAGCGGCAUGCUUGUGGCAAUAUUCAUAGCUAAGUCUGCCUAAUAUGUUUUCCCUUUUGACAAGCUAUUAAGCAAAUAGGCGACAUUCCAAUGGACAAAAAUUGUGAAGUCACACUAAUCCGACUUAAAGAAAUCAUCUCCUAGCUGCGAGUCUUGUCCUGACCAGUCAUAGAAGAAACGAUUUACUUAUAUUAGGCAAUUUCAUCAAAAGUUGUGAGCGCACCCUUAAUUUGUGAAACAAUCAAAUGGCAGAAAUUCGUCUACUUCGUUAGUAAAGUCAUACAAGGUCCCGAGAUCAUAUAUCAAUUGUUGGAGAAAAUCUUUUAAGUUGUACUUGUUGUAGUUAUGAGGCUAAGAAAAUAUUUCUUAGCUCAUAAGUUCGUGAUCCAGACAGACCAACCAAUUCAACAAAUCUUCUAUAGGCUAGAUCUAGAUCUAGCAGGAAGAAUGACAAAAAUGGUCAUUGGAGCUCUCGAAGAUUGAAGUCUCCUUUGAAUAGAAGAAGUCUAUAAAAGCCAAGGCCCUUUUCGACUUCAGUUAUGAGAUGACCCUAACAUUUUUCGAACCAAGUGCCAUUUGUACCAUCUUCGUCGACAGAUCCUCCAACACCAAUAGAAGUGGAGCUCGUGUCCUACUUGAAAACGACAAAGGCUUAGGUGUUGAAGCAUCCCUUACCUUUUCAUUUUCGACAUCUAACAACAAAGCAAUGUACGAGGCUAGCAUCGCAGGAUUGCGAUUGCGUAUAAAUGUAGUGCAUAAGAGCUCACGUUUAAUAUAGAUUCACAACUUGUUGUCUCCCAAAUAAACGGACAUUACCAAACUCGCCGUCUCCCAAAGAACGAUCAAAUGCUACAAAGAAACUUCGUUAGACUUCCCUGACCGACAUUCACCAACUCCUUGGGUAUACAACCCCAUCUCAAGCAGGGUUACUUAUACGGGGAGGGCAGUGAGGACAAGUAGGAGAGAUGGAGCAGUAUAUCUCGUGGAGCUCACUCACUAGAGGAUCGACUAUCUAGUACCCUCGGGAUUGGUGCUCGAGAUGAAUGAAGCAUGUGAAGAUGCAGAGGAUGGCUCAGUUAGAGUUGAGGCGGAGGCCACCGUAGGAGUUGGGGAUACAGUGGUUGUGCAGGGGACUAGCAAGAAGGAUAAGGGGUCAAUGGUAGUGGGAAGAGAUAUUGCAUGACCAUCUAGGCGGAUCGAGUCAGAGCUUCCACUUCUGGUGAAUGAUCCCAUAUCGAUUGUCACUGAAGUAGUGGACUAUUUUGAGAUUCCGGCGUCGCUGAAGCCACAUAUCUCGUGGGUGGAUCUGACUUCUGAGGAGACUGAUCCUUCUAUGGAUGUUGAUGACGAGGAAGUUACUUUGAGGAGAGAUACUGUGUCAGAAGGAACAUGCGGAGUGUUUGGAGAUCACCCUUGUUAUUGUAGAUGCUAGUGGAUGAUCAUAUUAGUUUUUGUUGUAUAUGGACUUAAUGUCUUUCUUUUGGUCUUUUAUAUCAAAGUUUGAGUCCAGAAGUCGAUUAUGCGUAAGGAAUGUAUUAACACUCUACGACAUCCAUACAAAAUAUGGUUACCUAUAAUUAAUUGUGUAAAAUUAAUAUAAACUUAUAUAAAUUUAUUU